RNAcentral lists this ribosomal RNA (253 nucleotides) under uncultured bacterium. Its description in RNAcentral is "partial 16S ribosomal RNA". It matches the Rfam family "Bacterial small subunit ribosomal RNA", at positions 524 to 776 of the family's 1533-position model. The record is from RNAcentral.
UACGGGGGGGGCAAGCGUUGUUCGGAAUUACUGGGCGUAAAGGGCUCGUAGGCGGCCAACUAAGUCGGACGUGAAAUCCCUCAGCUUAACUGGGGAACUGCGUCCGAUACUGGAUGGCUUGGAUUUGGGAGAGGGAUGCGGAAUUCCAGGUGUAGCGGUGAAAUGCGUAGAUAUCUGGAGGAACACCGGUGGCGAAGGCGGCAUCCUGGACCAAUAUUGACGCUGAGGAGCGAAAGCGUGGGGAGCAAACGGG